Oncorhynchus tshawytscha (Chinook salmon) is the source of this 3147-nucleotide long non-coding RNA. The record is from Ensembl. NCBI's taxonomy places the organism in Eukaryota, Metazoa, Chordata, Actinopteri, Salmoniformes, Salmonidae.
UGAACAUCAAGAAAAUGAUUAUUAUUCAUUUAUUAUUAAUGUAUUAUUACUUAUUACAAGUGUAUUAUUACUUUUGUUUUUUAUUAAUGGACUAUUACGGUAGUAAUUGGGCAUAAGAUGGAAUAAGAAACGUGCAGACUGUUGAAUAUUCACUAAAAAGGCCUACUGCAAUUGCAUAUUAAAUCCGUUGCGUGAUACUAUAAUUAAUUUUUUUUUAAACAUACAUCAGCACAGGACUACAAUUACUUCAACCAUAAUUGAUAACUUAAGCAAAUAUUAAAUAAUCAACCAUUUGUUUCAAUGUGCAAUACAAGUUCAAAUGAAAUGUCAUGUGGUUGACUAGGCGUCUACAUUUCAUAUCCCAAUAGCAAAACAUUUAGUAAUUUCAACUAUUGAUCUAACAUUGUUGUUUGUGGAAUCGAAUCAUAUGUUGCAAAACAGAAUUCUUACAAAGUGGGGUUAAGUAAAAAUCUUACUAUAUAGCCUAACGGACUGACAUUGAGCCAACAAUCCUCAGGUGAGUAUUCAUUUAAUUUACCAAUGCUACUUUAUUGAGCCAACUCCUGGGUGUGAGUGCGAUAGAAUGACGACUGGGAACAUCAAGUCUUGUCUCAAUCGAUUUAUUGUAUCGAUAACAUUUCAUGUUUAAGUGUGAAAAAAAGGUCCAUUCAACAGCAUUUGUUUCUUAUUUUCCCCAAAAUGUUUUCACCAAAAAUGUUUUCACCAGCUCUCCAGAACAAUUUAAACGUGGGUCGAAUCUCUCACAUUGGUCUGGACAAAUUAUUUAAUAUGGCGCAACACCUUUUUUAAGAGCAAUUAAGCCUAACUGUGAUUACGCUUGUAAAGAAAAGUGUUGCUCUUCGGUACCCGUUCAUUUGGGGAAUAGUUUUCUGCGUCAUUUAAACGUCUGCCUUUUACGAGCUCUACGUGGCGGCUGUGUAACCCCGCAUUUUUGAGUAUUUUCUUUCCAGAUUGUUGCGAUUUUCCUGCGGUUUUAACACGGGGACGGAGAGAGGCUGGCGCAGACCCCGGAGGAGAGCACCCCAUCCGGGAUUCGAACCAACCCAGCUCCAACUCCUGCCACAGGAUCAAACACCUUAGCCGCUGGGUUACCUACUGCCAGGAGGAAGGAAGUGUGGGAUGGAGGAAGUGGUACUCACUAAGCAAGCAGCGAGACGUCCUUUACAGUGGUGCCAUGACCCGGAUCUACAUUGGUGCUCAGCUCAACGCUGGGUUUGCUGUUGAGGAAGUUUGAGGGGUGAAUGUAGCACAUGGGGAUGUGUGAAACUUACUCCACAGCCUGAAGUGUCUCACCUCAAUGGCAAGCUUUUUGAGGGAUCGGCUAAGAUGCUUGAGGAGAGCGGCCACAUGUGUUUGUGAGGCAGAGAUCCCGAGUUCGAGCCUGGUAUGGAAGUGGUACUCGCUAAGCAACAGCGUGGCGUCCUUUACAUAUACACUGAAUAUACAAAACAUUAGGAACAUCUGCUCUUUCCAUGAGACUGACCAGGUGAAAGAUAUGAUCCCUUAUUGAUGUCACUUGUUAUAUCCACUUCAAUCAGUGUAGAUGAAGGCUAUAUCUUUUUAAGCCAUGAGACGGAUGGUGUAUGUGUGCCAUUCAGAGGGUCAAUGGACAAGACAAAAGAUGUAAGUGCCUUUGAAUGGGGUAUGGUAGUAGGUGCCAGGCACACCGGUGUGUGUCAAGAACUGCAACGCUGCUGGGUUUUUCACACCCGACAGUUUCCCAAGUGUAUCAAGAAUGGUUCACCACCCAAAGGACAUCCAGCCAACUUGACACAACUGUGGGAAGCAUUGGAGUCAACAUGGGCCAGCAUCCCUGUGGAAUGCUUUUGACACCUUGUAGCGUCCAUGCCCCAAUGAACUGAGGAUGGUCUGAGGGCAAAAAAACAGGGGGAAGCAACUCAAUAUUAGGAAGGUGUCCUUAUUGUUUUGUACAUAGUGUAUAUGUAGCAUAUAUACUGAACAAAAAUAUAAAUGCAUCAUGCAACAAUUUCAAAGAUUUUACUGAGUUACAGUUCAUAUAAGGAAAUCAGUCAAUUGAAAUACAUGAAUUAGGCCCUAAUCUAUGGAUUUCACAUGACAGGGAAUACAGAUAUGCAUCUGUUGGUUACAGAUACCUUGAAAAACUUGGCUUGGAUCAGAAAACCAGUCAGUAUCUGGUGUGACCACCAUUUGCCUCAUGCAGCACGACAUCUCCUUCGCAUAGAGUUGAUCAGGCUGUUGAUUGUGGCCUGUGGAAUGUUGUCCCACUCCUCUUCAAUGGCUGUGCAAAGUUGCUGGAUACUGGUGGGAACUGGAACAUGCUGUCAUACACAUAAACCCAGAAAAUCCCAAACAGGCUCAAUAGGUGACAUGUCUGGUGAGUAUGCAGGCCAUGGAAGAACUGGGACAUUUUCAGUUUUCAGGAAUUGUGCACAGAUCCUUGCUAUAUGGAGCUGAGCAUUAUCAUGCUGUAACAUGAGGUGAUGACGGUGGAUGAAUGGCACGACAAUGGGCCUCAGUAUCUCAUCAUGGUAAUGCAAUUGUGUUCAUUGUCCGUAGCUUAUGCCUGCCCAUACCAUAACCUCACCGCCACCAUUGUGCACUCUGUUCACAAUGUUGGAGGAGGCUUAUGGUAGAGAAAUUAAUAUUAUAUUCUCUGGCAACAGCUCUGGUGGACAUUCCUGCAGUCAGCAUGCUAAUUGCACGCUCCUUCAAAACUUGAGACAUCUGUGGCAUUGUGUUGUUUGACAAAAAUUGCACAUUUGAGUGGCCUUUUAUUGUCCCCAGCACAAGGUGCAUCUGUGUAAUGAUCAUGCUGUUUAAUCAGCUUCUUGAUAUGCCACACCUGUCAGGUGGAUGGAUUAUCUUGGCAAAGAAGAAAUGCUCACUAACAGGGAUGUAAACAAAUUUGUACAUAAAAUUUGAGAGAAAUAAGCUUUUGAAACAUAGGACCAACAUUUAUAUGUUGCGUUUAUAUUUUUGUGUAUGUAUGUAUGUAUGUAUGUAUGUAUGUAUGUAUGUAUGUAUGUAUGUAUGUAUGUAUGUAUGUAUGUAUGUAUGUAUGUAUGUAUGUAUGUAUGUAUAUGCAUAAAUAUAUAUAAAUAAAUAUAUAUAUGAAAUGCAGUACCAGUCAAAAGUAAAUUGUUA